Molecule: non-coding RNA, 117 nt
Filed under: Bacilli bacterium
Lineage: Bacteria; Bacillati; Bacillota; Bacilli
Description: 6S RNA
Rfam family: 6S / SsrS RNA
About the family: E. coli 6S RNA was the first non coding RNA to be sequenced, but its function was unknown until recently.
Source: RNAcentral
UAAACCCUACAAACAUCGAUAAGGGAAUCAGAGUAUAGUUAUUGGUGUUGAAUGCUUAAAUAAUUUUAAGAAUCCUAAAAAUAACUAAGAGAUGCCCACCUGAUUAUUUCAGGUUUA